Long non-coding RNA from Gasterosteus aculeatus aculeatus (three-spined stickleback), 1857 nucleotides. NCBI's taxonomy places the organism in Eukaryota, Metazoa, Chordata, Actinopteri, Perciformes, Gasterosteidae. The record is from Ensembl.
GGAAGCAUUCCCGCUACGCCACAUAUGUUUACAUGAUACCUGUAGCUGGUACCUUUGUAGCUAGCUUCUAGCAUGUUACUUUCGUUUACUUUUUCGCUUAGUUCUUUCUGGAACGGGUGCUUCGUCGUUGACGAGGUACCUUUUGUAACGUACUGGAUCCAUUCUUUUUCUUUAUUUGUUGCUUAUUUACCACAGACCGUAAAGCAUAAUGGCAAGCAUGUAUCCACUCUGCUCCGAUCGGCCGCUACAGCGUCGCGUGCGAAUGACGUCAUCAACCGCGCUGGGCCGCUUGUUGAUUACGUCAUUCCCAUGCAGGCGCGAUCGCGCCGAAAGAUAACGGCUGGGACUAAGUAUAAAGUAUUAAAAAUGGAGACAUCAGCGUUCCGCUAUGUCCUACUUGAAUGGACUGAGGGUGAUGAUAGUGGGGCGCAUAGUAUUUUGGCGAUGGACUGUGUCCGGAACUUUUCAGUUCAAGAUUUUUUUUGCCUCGACUGAACAAAACAAGAAGCUGGUGGAAUGGCGAAAAAGCCGCCAACCCUGGUCGGUUCACCGAGCCAAAAGUAUUGACGUGGCAAAAUUUGAAAAACCUCCAAAUUAAACUGCGUGAGAUCGAGGUGGAGAAAGAGGGCACACAAACAAAACGUCCUCACAUCCCAAACUCAAAGUACAUUGAGCAGCAGGGGAAGACUGAGAAGGCUUCAAAAAAAAGAGAGGGUCUUCCAAAUACAAGCGCCAGGAGGGUGAGAAGCAGGAGGAGGGUCAUGACAGACUUUCAAAGAACAAGGUUGCCGUGAAAAAGAAAAAUCUUUCUAAAUACGAGGAGGAGGGAGAAGUGGAUGAUGAGGCGCGUCAUGACACAAAGAACAAGAGAAGAGGAGGAGCAUAUUGGGGAUGAAGACGACAAAGUACCAGCCUCAAAGAAAAAGAGCGCUGCUGAAUUUAGAAAGCAACUGGACGAACAGAUGUGGGAGAGAAAAAAAAUUGAACAAAUGCAAAGAAAUUUGCAGGAGUUGCGAAAUGAAGUUCCGUCUCUCAAAAGUGAAAAUGCACAUCUGAAAGAUGUUCUGGAAUGGGAAGCAACCUGAAUGGUGGGAAGCCAACCAGAGGGGACGGGGAGCAGCUGGUUGCCCUGGACAAAAUAAAAAAGGCAGCCAUUAUUGCUGAGUAAAUGCAUAAUGUGUUGAGAAGGGAAAACAAAACUUUUAAGACCUUACAAGUUCACCACUUUAACCAUAGCCUACUUGUAUCAAUGUUUAUUAGGCAUCAAUGGAGACUGCAUAAGGUAGGGCACCCAUUAUUGUUACUGUAUCUGCUUAGCACCUAUAAUACGAAUUCAUUGCUUCCUCACUUCUUGAUCCCACCUUUCCUUUUCUAAAACCACAUUUCUGGGGUAUUGCGCUCAAUGUGCUGUAAGGUGUGUAGUCUUCUAUUUUGUAGAACAUAUAGUGUUGCAAAUAACCUCAUGGCAUAUUGUUGUUGUCUGAAGUGUUCAUAAAUAAUAAUAUUCACCCCUCCUUCACCCUUAAUCCCCUCUGUCCUGCCUUAUUUUGUCUAUGCCGGUAAUUGAUUUGCUUGAUUUUAAAGCAUACCUUCUUCGAGCAUGUGUGUGUGCCAUUCGCUCAUUAUUGUUCCAAUAUUAUUAUAUUAUCUAAUUAUUUUUGUCUUCUCUAGAUGCUACAUUGAAGAAGUGGCCGGCAGCCAGCCGAGGGCAGAUAGGCACAGCUAUAAAUUCCAAGCUCGCAGUGAUGCGAAGAUCCAUGAAAUUAUUUUUUUUCCUUUCCAUUUUUUGUCAUUUUUGUUUUUGUACAUUUUGAUAGUCCUUAAAUAAAUAAUGUAAAUUUCUACAUUUUGGGCUUU